AAUCCUGCUUCCUGCUUCCCAGAGGCCGGGAUCCGGAGCGCCCGAAGCCGGUGCCGCAGCCCCCUGCGCCCCCGACAUGUCCUUCCGCAAAGUGGUCCGGCAGAGCAAAUUCCGGCAUGUGUUCGGGCAGCCGGUCAAGAACGACCAGUGCUAUGAGGACAUUCGCGUGUCCCGUGUUACCUGGGACAGCACCUUCUGCGCCGUCAACCCCAAGUUCCUGGCGGUGAUUGUGGAGGCCAGUGGAGGGGGUGCCUUUCUGGUGCUCCCCCUAAGCAAGACGGGCCGCAUUGACAAGGCCUACCCGACGGUGUGUGGGCACACAGGACCUGUCCUGGACAUCGAUUGGUGUCCUCACAACGACGAAGUCAUAGCCAGUGGCUCGGAGGACUGCACGGUCAUGGUGUGGCAGAUCCCAGAGAACGGGCUGACCUCCCCGCUGACAGAGCCGGUGGUGGUACUGGAGGGGCACACCAAGCGAGUGGGCAUCAUCACCUGGCACCCCACGGCCCGAAACGUGCUGCUCAGUGCAGGUCUGCACCGCCCCCCGUUUUGUGCUCCCCCCCCGCCGGACCCCUCCAUACAUCCCAGCAGCCCCUCCAGGGCCCACAUGACAAAUGGGAAAGCUGAGGCCCUCAGAGUUGGAGAGACCCGUCUGUCCCAGGGUGGUGGGCAGAGUGGGCCUCAGCCUGGUGAGCUAAUGGCCUCCUGCCACCCGCCCGGCCUGAGCUGACAACCCUCACCUGCCAGGCUGCGACAACGUGGUACUCAUCUGGAAUGUGGGCACAGCGGAGGAGCUGUACCGCCUGGACAGCCUGCACCCUGACCUCAUCUACAAUGUCAGCUGGAACCACAGUGGCAGCCUGUUUUGCUCAGCAUGCAAGGACAAGAGUGUGCGCAUCAUCGACCCCCGUCGGGGCACCCUGGUGGCAGUACGUGGCUCUGGAGGGCAAGGAUGGCUGUGGAUAGGCCCAGGGCCUUGAGCAGGGUGCUGCACUGACCAGCCUGUCCCCCCGACAGGAGCGGGAG
RNAcentral lists this small RNA (1026 nucleotides) under Pan troglodytes (chimpanzee). RNAcentral describes it as "retained intron". Lineage: Eukaryota; Metazoa; Chordata; Mammalia; Primates; Hominidae. The record is from RNAcentral.